RNAcentral lists this ribosomal RNA (489 nucleotides) under uncultured bacterium. RNAcentral's name for it is "bacterial SSU rRNA". It matches the Rfam family "Bacterial small subunit ribosomal RNA", at positions 28 to 527 of the family's 1533-position model. The record is from RNAcentral.
GAUGAACGCUGGCGGCGUGCCUAACACAUGCAAGUCGAGCGGGAUUGUGGAGUAGCUUGCUACGAAGCAAUCUAGCGGCGGACGGGUGAGUAACGCGUGGGCAACCUGCCCUAUACAGGGGGAUAACACACCGAAAGGUGUGCUAAUACCCCAUAACACCGAUGCUUCGCAUGGAGAGUCGGUCAAAGAUUUAUCGGUAUAGGAUGGGCCCGCGUCUGAUUAGCUAGUUGGUGAGGUAAAGGCUCACCAAGGCGACGAUCAGUAGCCGACCUGAGAGGGUGAUCGGCCACACUGGAACUGAGACACGGUCCAGACUCCUACGGGAGGCAGCAGUGGGGAAUAUUGCACAAUGGGGGAAACCCUGAUGCAGCAACGCCGCGUGAGCGAUGAAGGCUUUCGGGUCGUAAAGCUCUGUCCUAAGGGAAGAAGAAUGACGGUACCUUAGGAGGAAGCCCCGGCUAACUACGUGCCAGCAGCCGCGGUAAUUCA